AAUCAACGCUGGCGGCGUGCCUAACACAUGCAAGUCGAACGAGAAAGUGGAGCAAUCCAUGAGUAAAGUGGCGCACGGGUGAGUAACACGUGACUAACCUACCCAGGAGUGGGGAAUAACUUCGGGAAACCGAGGCUAAUACCGCAUAACACCUACGGGUCAAAGGAGCAAUUCGCUUCUGGAGGGGGUCGCGGCCGAUUAGUUAGUUGGCAGGGUAAUGGCCUACCAAGACGAUGAUCGGUAUCCGGCCUGAGAGGGCGCACGGACACACUGGAAC
This 277-nucleotide ribosomal RNA is filed under the name uncultured bacterium. RNAcentral's name for it is "partial 16S ribosomal RNA". It matches the Rfam family "Bacterial small subunit ribosomal RNA", at positions 32 to 319 of the family's 1533-position model. The record is from RNAcentral.